GGGCAAUGAUUGGUUCGAUAUAUUGGAAGGAUUCCAAAUAAAUCGAUCAAUGGAAGCUGAGAUGCUGUAGAUGUGUAGGAUGCAUUCUAAUUCUAAUAUUAGUUACAAACCUGAUAUCAUACCAUCAGAUGUCAUGACACUGUACUGUAAAGACAAUGGAGCCAUAGCCCAUACUAAGGAGCCAAGAUCUCACUAGAAGUCUAAGCCCAUAGAGUCGCUGUAUAUGCGA
This 229-nucleotide long non-coding RNA is filed under the name Elaeis guineensis (African oil palm). Its description in RNAcentral is "long non-coding RNA (EGUI_LNC048262)". The record is from RNAcentral. Lineage: Eukaryota; Viridiplantae; Streptophyta; Magnoliopsida; Arecales; Arecaceae.